GAUGAACGCUGGCGGCGUGCCUAAUACAUGCAAGUCGAGCGAACAGACGAGGAGCUUGCUCCUCUGACGUUAGCGGCGGACGGGUGAGUAACACGUGGAUAACCUACCUAUAAGACUGGGAUAACUUCGGGAAACCGGAGCUAAUACCGGAUAAUAUAUUGAACCGCAUGGUUCAAUAGUGAAAGACGGUUUUGCUGUCACUUAUAGAUGGAUCCGCGCUGCAUUAGCUAGUUGGUAAGGUAACGGCUUACCAAGGCAACGAUGCGUAGCCGACCUGAGAGGGUGAUCGGCCACACUGGAACUGAGACACGGUCCAGACUCCUACGGGAGGCAGCAGUAGGGAAUCUUCCGCAAUGGGCGAAAGCCUGACGGAGCAACGCCGCGUGAGUGAUGAAGGUCUUCGGAUCGUAAAACUCUGUUAUUAGGGAAGAACAAAUGUGUAAGUAGCUAUGCACGUCUUGACGGUACCUAAUCAGAAAGCCACGGCUAACUACGUG
RNAcentral lists this ribosomal RNA (497 nucleotides) under uncultured bacterium. RNAcentral's name for it is "partial 16S ribosomal RNA". It matches the Rfam family "Bacterial small subunit ribosomal RNA", at positions 28 to 507 of the family's 1533-position model. The record is from RNAcentral.